ACGAACGCUGGCGGCGUGCCUAAUACAUGCAAGUUGAGCGCUGAAGGUUGGUACUUGUACCAACUGGAUGAGCAGCGAACGGGUGAGUAACGCGUGGGGAAUCUGCCUUUGAGCGGGGGACAACAUUUGGAAACGAAUGCUAAUACCGCAUAAAAACUUUAAACACAAGUUUUAAGUUUGAAAGAUGCAAUUGCAUCACUCAAAGAUGAUCCCGCGUUGUAUUAGCUAGUUGGUGAGGUAAAGGCUCACCAAGGCGAUGAUACAUAGCCGACCUGAGAGGGUGAUCGGCCACAAUGGGACUGAGACACGGCCCAAACUCCUACGGGAGGCAGCAGUAGGGAAUCUUCGGCAAUGGACGAAAGUCUGACCGAGCAACGCUGCGUGAGUGAAGAAGGUUUUCGGAUCGUAAAACUCUGUUGGUAGGGAAGAACGUUGGUGAGAGUGGAAAGCUCAUCAAGUGACGGUAACUACCCAGAAAGGGACGGCUAACUACGUG
RNAcentral lists this ribosomal RNA (496 nucleotides) under uncultured bacterium. Its description in RNAcentral is "partial 16S ribosomal RNA". It matches the Rfam family "Bacterial small subunit ribosomal RNA", at positions 29 to 507 of the family's 1533-position model. The record is from RNAcentral.